This 204-nucleotide microRNA precursor is filed under the name Oryza sativa Indica Group (long-grained rice). RNAcentral describes it as "MIR812 microRNA precursor family". It matches the Rfam family "MIR812 microRNA precursor family". Lineage: Eukaryota; Viridiplantae; Streptophyta; Magnoliopsida; Poales; Poaceae. The record is from Rfam by way of RNAcentral.
AAUAAGUAUAGCCAUGAGUUUUCGCGCUCAACUUUGAUCGUCCAUCUUAUUUGAAUUUUUUUCAUAAUUAGCAUUUUUGUUGUUAUAAGAUGAUAAAACAUAAAUAGUACUUUACUCGUGACUUAUGUUUUAAUUUUUUUUAAAAAAAAUUCAAAUAAGAUGAAUGGUUAAAGUUGAGCGCGGAAAACCAUGGCUGCACUUAUU